GAGAGAGGUAGGAGAAGGAAAGAGAGUGAGAGAUGUUGAUAAAGAGAGAGAGAGAGAGAGGUAGGAGAAGGACAGAGAGGGAGAGAUGUUGAGAGAGAGGUAGGAGAAGGACAGAGAGGGAGAGAUGUUGAUAAAGAGAGAGAGGUAGGAGAAGGACAGAGAGGGAGAGAAGUUGAUAAAGAGAGAGAGAGAGGUAGGAGAAGGAAAGAGAGUGAGAGAUGUCGAUAAAGAGAGAGAGAGAGGUAGGAGAAGGACAGAGAGUUAGAGAUGUUGAUAAAGAGAGAGAGAGAGGUAGGAGAAGGAAAGAGAGUGAGAGAUGUCGAUAGAGAGAGAGAGGUAGGAGAAGGACAGAGAGGGAGAGAUGUUGAAAAAGAGAGAGAGAGAGAGAGGUAGGAGAAGGACAGAGAGGGAGAGAUGUUGAUAAAGAGAGAGAGAGAGAGGUAGGAGAAGGACAGAGAGGGAGAGAUAUUGAUAAAGAGAGAGAGAGAGAGGUAGGAGAAGGACAGAGUGAGAGAUGUCGAUAAAGAGAGAGAGAGGUAGGAGAAGGACAGAGAGUGAGAGAUGUUGAUAAAGAGAGAGAGAGAGAGAGAGGUAGGAGAAGGAAAGAGAGUGAGAGAUGUCGAUAGAGAGAGAGAGGUAGGAGAAGGACAGAGAGGGAGAGAUGUUGAUAAAGAGAGAGAGAGGUAGGAGAAGGACAGAGAGGGAGAGAUGUUGAUAAAGAGAGAGAGAGGUAGGAGAAGGACAGAGAGGGAGAGAUAUUGAUAAAGAGAGAGAGAGAGGUAGGAGAAGGACAGAGAAGGAGAGAUAUUGAUAAAGAGAGAGAGAGAGAGGUAGGAGAAGGAAAGCGAGUGAGAGAUGUCGAUAGAGAGAGAGAGGUAGGAGAAGGACAGAGAGGGAGAGAUGUUGAUAAAGAGAGAGAGAGGUAGGAGAAGGACAGAGAGUGAGAGAUGUCGAUAGAGAGAGAGAGGUAGGAGAAGGACAGAGAGGGAGAGAUGUUGAUAAAGAGAGAGAGAGGUAGGAGAAGGACAGAGAGGGAGAGAAGUUGAUAAAGAGAGAGAGAGAGGUAGGAGAAGGAAAGAGAGUGAGAUAUGUCGAUAGAGAGAGAGAGGUAGGAGAAGGACAGAGAGGGAGAGAUGUUGAUAAAGAGAGAGAGGUAGGAGAAGGACAGAGAGGGAGAGAUGUUGAUAAAGAGAGAGAGAGAGGUAGGAGAAGGACAGAGAGGGAGAGAUGUUGAUAAAGAGAGAGAGAGAGAGGUAGGAGAAGAACAGAGUGAGAGAUGUCGAGAGAGAGAGAGAGAGGUAGGAGAAGGACAGAGAGGGAGAGAUGUCGAUAAAGAGAGAGAGAGAGAGGUAGGAGAAGGACAGAGAGGGAGAGAUGUUGAUAAAGAGAGAGGUAGGAGAAGGACAGAGAGGGAGAGAUGUUGAUAAAGAGAGAGAGAAGUAGGAGAAGGACAGAGAGGGAGAGAUGUCGAUAGAGAGAGAGGUAGGAGAAGGACAGAGAGUGAGAGAUGUCAAUAAAAAGAGAGAGAGAGGUAGGAGAAGGACAGACACUGGGAUGGUAGGAUUCUUCUGAGAUGAAUCAAGUACAGAGGGUUAGCAAGGUGAAAGAGAGGAAGGAGAGAUAGGGAGAUAAAGGGAUGGAGGGAUGGAGAGAGGAUGGAGGGAUGGAGAGAGGAUGGAGGGAUGGAGAGAGGAAGGAGAGAUAGGGAGAUAAAGGGAUGGAGGGAUGGAGAGAGGAUGGAGGGAUGGGAGAGAGGAUGGAGGGAUGGAGAGAGGAUGGAGGGAUGGAGAGAGGAUGGAGGGAUGGAGAGAGGAUGGAGGGAUGGAGAGAGGAUGGAGGGAUGGAGAGAGGAUGGAGGGAUGGAGAGAGGGCCGGGGGGUGGAGAGAGGAUAGAGGGAUAGAGAGAGGAUGGAGGGAUGGAGAGAGGAUGGAGGGAUGGAGAGAGGAUGGAGAGGAUAGAGGGAUAGAGAGAGGAUGGAGGGAUGGAGAAAGGGCCGGGGGGUGGAGCUGGGUUACAGAACA
Molecule: long non-coding RNA, 2022 nt
Organism: Oncorhynchus keta (chum salmon)
Lineage: Eukaryota; Metazoa; Chordata; Actinopteri; Salmoniformes; Salmonidae
Exons: 6
Source: RefSeq, a predicted model, not a curated record